CCGCGCCAGGAACCUAGCCGUCACGUAGAGCGCGGCGUCUCUGACCUGUGUGCGGGUGGGGUAGGAGGCCUAGGCCUGGCCGAUCACCCAGGUCCCAGCAAAGCCGUUGCCGUUUCUCAGCUGGAGAAGGCUCCACUGUAGCUUCCUGGGGUGACGCUGUAGGGAGACAAACAAGCUGCUGGCUGGCGAUCUUUGCACCUGAUCCAGAUGUGGUGGUGGUGGUGUGGUCUACAUGUGUUUCAAACUUGGGAAAGGUUGACAUCUUUGAAUGCUGUGAUAAUGAAUCUUCAUUGUGAACUUGACUAAAUUUGGAGUAACUGAAUACCCAGGCCACCUCUGGGUAUGUGAUGGUGUUUGCAGAGAUGGAAGGGAGAGCUGCUUUGAGUGUGGUUGGCAUCACCCCAUGUGUAAGGACCCUGGAAUGGUGAAACAGGACAAAGGAGAACGUGACAGGAUGCCAGGGCUCACCUCUCUCUGCC
Non-coding RNA from Cricetulus griseus (Chinese hamster), 479 nucleotides. NCBI's taxonomy places the organism in Eukaryota, Metazoa, Chordata, Mammalia, Rodentia, Cricetidae. The record is from RefSeq and is a predicted model, not a curated record.